This is a long non-coding RNA of Anastrepha ludens (Mexican fruit fly), 1034 nucleotides long. RefSeq lists it as uncharacterized. NCBI's taxonomy places the organism in Eukaryota, Metazoa, Arthropoda, Insecta, Diptera, Tephritidae. The record is from RefSeq and is a predicted model, not a curated record. The transcript is spliced from 3 exons.
UUAUUCAAAUGCUAUCAGUUUAAUCGCGACUUUGUCAUUGUUCGGUUGUCGUUGCUCGCGUUGUUGGGGCAAAGUAUUGUCUGCUUGUCUUCCCAUUGGCACUGUCAAUCAAUCGUCGGCACACUUUUGGGUUUUUCAACUUAUUGACCACGUCUUAGGGAAAUAAAUGCACUUAAAUCGAAUGAUGGAUGAUCUCAAUAAAACUUACGGUGUUUUCUCGAGUAAGCAGCCUAAGUGAAAAUUUUGUGAAAUGCAAAUGAAAUGAACUUUUCGUUGUCGCCUACUUCGAUUGAAUUGGAUCGUACGUGUGCCACUUUGCGCUUAUUUUAGAGCUGCCUGCACUGCCGCGAAAGUGGGAAGCGGGAGUUCUCAUCGACACAUUGCAUGUUGUAGAUAUUUGAUGAAAACAAAAAAUUGUGUUUUUUUCUCAAUUCCUCUUUCGUUCCUAAUGAAAGAAAGGCACAUUUGUGAAAAUCAUCGAGCAGUUAAGAAAUAUCCAAAAAUCCAAGUGGCUGCUGAGUAUUGCGGCUGAGUGUGUUGUGAGUGAGGAAAAAAAACAGCAGCCGGAAAAAAUAUACUCGAGUUGCUGUUGUUAUUUAACGGGAAUUGUUAAAAUAAUCAAAGCUGUUUUUAAGAAAAAUAUUUCAAUUUUAACAAAGCAAAUACAAAUAAAGACAAAUUUAACAACACAUAAAUAUAUCAAAUUUGGAAUCGCAAUAACAACAACAAAAUUCGUGGCAACAAGUUGUACACUUUCGGCACGAUGGAGGGCGGCUAUGUGAAUGAAGGUGAGUGUUGCAUCAAACAUUUGUUAAAUUGUUGAAAAUAUGAGAAAUGCACAAAAACCAAAAAUAAAAUAGGAAAAACAAAAAAAAAGUAAUAAAAAAUAAAAAAGCCAAACAAAGCCAAAAGCAUGCUUAAUACCGCACUUAUGUAUAUAGGUAUAUCGGAUAUGUGCUUAGAUAGUUUUUGUUGCUGAUCGUUCAUUCAGUUAGCAUUUUGGUCUCAUUGAAUAGAUUUUCUGUUUGCUUUGA